GGAGAGAUGGCUGAGUGGCCGAAAGCGGCGGAUUGCUAAUCCGUUGUACGAGUUAUUCGUACCG
This 64-nucleotide transfer RNA is filed under the name Helianthus annuus (common sunflower). RNAcentral describes it as "sRNA HanXRQr2_Chr12g0534661". It matches the Rfam family "tRNA". From Rfam's summary of the family: Transfer RNA (tRNA) molecules are approximately 80 nucleotides in length. Their secondary structure includes four short double-helical elements and three loops (D, anti-codon, and T loops). Further hydrogen bonds mediate the characteristic L-shaped molecular structure. tRNAs have two regions of fundamental functional importance: the anti-codon, which is responsible for specific mRNA codon recognition, and the 3' end, to which the tRNAs corresponding amino acid is attached (by aminoacyl-tRNA synthetases). tRNAs cope with the degeneracy of the genetic code in two manners: having more than one tRNA (with a specific anti-codon) for a particular amino acid; and 'wobble' base-pairing, i.e. permitting non-standard base-pairing at the 3rd anti-codon position. Lineage: Eukaryota; Viridiplantae; Streptophyta; Magnoliopsida; Asterales; Asteraceae. The record is from RNAcentral.